Molecule: small nucleolar RNA, 107 nt
Organism: Gastrolobium bilobum
Lineage: Eukaryota; Viridiplantae; Streptophyta; Magnoliopsida; Fabales; Fabaceae
Source: RefSeq, a predicted model, not a curated record
AAGUCGUAUUGGGGGAACUUUCUGAUCAACUCCUGGAAUCUAGUCCAGGCUGCACACAAGGUCUCUCCCAGCUGUUGAAUAAAGUUGGUGAUUUCAUUCACCAACUU